GAUGAAGAACGCAGCGAAAUGCGAUAAGUAAUGUGAAUUGCAGAAUUCAGUGAAUCAUCGAAUCUUUGAACGCACAUUGCGCCCCCUGGUAUUCCGGGGGGCAUGCCUGUUCGAGCGUCAUUUCACCACUCAAGCCUCGCUUGGUAUUGGGCAACGCGGUCCGCCGCGUGCCUCAAAUCGACCGGCUGGGUCUUCUGUCCCCUAAGCGUUGUGGAAACUAAUCGCUAAAGGGUGUUCGGGAGGCUACGCCGUAAAACAACCCCAUUUCUAAGGUUGACCUCGGAUCAGGUAGGGAUACCCGCUGAACUUAAGCAUAUCAAUAAGCGGAGGA
This 331-nucleotide unclassified non-coding RNA is filed under the name soil metagenome. RNAcentral describes it as "partial contains 5.8S ribosomal RNA, internal transcribed spacer 2, and large subunit ribosomal RNA". The stretch from base 1 to 120 matches the Rfam family "5.8S ribosomal RNA", at positions 35 to 154 of the family's 154-position model. The record is from RNAcentral.